ACGCUCGGCACCUACGGGAGCAGCAGUGAGGAAUAUUGGUCAAUGGGCGCUAGCCUGAACCAGCCAAGUAGCGUGAAGGAUGAAGGCUCUAUGGGUCGUAAACUUCUUUUAUAUAAGAAUAAAGUGCAGUAUGUAUACUGUUUUGUAUGUAUUAUAUGAAUAAGGAUCGGCUAACUCCGUGCCAGAGCCGCGGUAAGUACUUGAGGCGGGCGUGGCGAAGGACG
This 224-nucleotide ribosomal RNA is filed under the name uncultured bacterium. RNAcentral's name for it is "partial 16S ribosomal RNA". It matches the Rfam family "Bacterial small subunit ribosomal RNA", at positions 326 to 544 of the family's 1533-position model. The record is from RNAcentral.